This is a non-coding RNA of Paramarasmius palmivorus, 96 nucleotides long. The record is from the annotation of a GenBank genome assembly. Lineage: Eukaryota; Fungi; Basidiomycota; Agaricomycetes; Agaricales; Marasmiaceae.
CCGACCUUAGCUCAGCUGGAAGAGCACAAGACUGUAAUGGGAAUGACUUCAUAUCUGUCUAUCUUGGGGUCGCCUGUUCGAGCCAGGCAGGUCGGA